GGUUAAGUGACUAAGCGUACACGGUGGAUGCCUAGGCAGUCAGAGGCGAUGAAGGGCGUGCUAAUCUGCGAAAAGCGUCGGUAAGGUGAUAUGAACCGUUACAACCGGCGAUACCCGAAUGGGGAAACCCAGUGUGUUUCGACACACUAUCAUGUCAUGAAUACAUAGUGGCAUGAGGCGAACCGGGGGAACUGAAACAUCUAAGUACCCCGAGGAAAAGAAAUCAACCGAGAUUCCCCCAGUAGCGGCGAGCGAACGGGGAGGAGCCCAGAACCUGAAUCGGCUUGUGUGUUAGUGGAAGCGUCUGGAAAGUCGCGCAGUAAAGGGUGAUAGCCCCGUACACUAAAAUGCACAGGUCGUGAGUUCGAUGAGUAGGGCGGGACACGUGACAUCCUGUCUGAAUAUGGGGGGACCAUCCUCCAAGGCUAAAUACUCCUGACUGACCGAUAGUGAACCAGUACCGUGAGGGAAAGGCGAAAAGAACCCCGGCGAGGGGAGUGAAAUAGAACCUGAAACCGUGUACGUACAAGCAGUGGGAGCACCUUCGUGGUGUGACUGCGUACCUUUUGUAUAAUGGGUCAGCGACUUAUAUUUUGUAGCAAGGUUAACCGUAUAGGGGAGCCGUAGGGAAACCGAGUCUUAACUGGGCGAAUAGUUGCAAGGUAUAGACCCGAAACCCGGUGAUCUAGCCAUGGGCAGGUUGAAGGUUGGGUAACACUAACUGGAGGACCGAACCGACUAAUGUUGAAAAAUUAGCGGAUGACUUGUGGCUGGGGGUGAAAGGCCAAUCAAACCGGGAGAUAGCUGGUUCUCCCCGAAAGCUAUUUAGGUAGCGCCUCGUGAACUCAUCUUCGGGGGUAGAGCACUGUUUCGGCUAGGGGGCCAUCCCGGCUUACCAAACCGAUGCAAACUCCGAAUACCGAAGAAUGUUAUCACGGGAGACACACGGCGGGUGCUAACGUCCGUCGUGAAGAGGGAAACAACCCAGACCGCCAGCUAAGGUCCCAAAGUCAUGGUUAAGUGGGAAACGAUGUGGGAAGGCAUAGACAGCCAGGAUGUUGGCUUAGAAGCAGCCAUCAUUUAAAGAAAGCGUAAUAGCUCACUGGUCGAGUCGGCCUGCGCGGAAGAUGUAACGGGGCUAAACCAUGCACCGAAGCUGCGGCAGCGACGCUUAGGCGUUGUUGGGUAGGGGAGCGUUCUGUAAGCCGUUGAAGGUGGCCUGUGAGGGUUGCUGGAGGUAUCAGAAGUGCGAAUGCUGACAUAAGUAACGAUAAAGCGGGUGAAAAGCCCGCUCGCCGGAAGACCAAGGGUUCCUGUCCAACGUUAAUCGGGGCAGGGUGAGUCGACCCCUAAGGCGAGGCUGAAAAGCGUAGUCGAUGGGAAACAGGUUAAUAUUCCUGUACUUGGUGUUACUGCGAAGGGGGGACGGAGAAGGCUAGGCUAGCCGGGCGACGGUUGUCCCGGUUUAAGCGUGUAGGGGGUGUGACCUGGUAAAUCCGGUUGCAUAUCAACCCUGAGGCGUGAUGACGAUGCACUACGGUGCAGAAGUAGUUGAUGCCCUGCUUCCAGGAAAAGCCUCUAAGCUCUAGGUAACAUUGAAUCGUACCCCAAACCGACACAGGUGGUCAGGUAGAGAAUACCAAGGCGCUUGAGAGAACUCGGGUGAAGGAACUAGGCAAAAUGGUGCCGUAACUUCGGGAGAAGGCACGCUGGCAUGUAGGUGAAGUCCCUUGCGGAUGGAGCUGAAGCCAGUCGAAGAUACCAGCUGGCUGCAACUGUUUAAUAAAAACACAGCACUGUGCAAACACGAAAGUGGACGUAUACGGUGUGACGCCUGCCCGGUGCUGGAAGGUUAAUUGAUGGGGUCAGCCGCAAGGCGAAGCUCUUGAUCGAAGCCCCAGUAAACGGCGGCCGUAACUAUAACGGUCCUAAGGUAGCGAAAUUCCUUGUCGGGUAAGUUCCGACCUGCACGAAUGGCGUAAUGAUGGCCAGGCUGUCUCCACCCGAGACUCAGUGAAAUUGAACUCGCUGUGAAGAUGCAGUGUACCCGCGGCAAGACGGAAAGACCCCGUGAACCUUUACUAUAGCUUGACACUGAACAUUGAGCCUUGAUGUGUAGGAUAGGUGGGAGGCUUUGAAGCGUGGACGCCAGUCUGCGUGGAGCCAUCCUUGAAAUACCACCCUUUAAUGUUUGAUGUUCUAACUCGGCCCCAUAAUCUGGGGUGAGGACAGUGUCUGGUGGGUAGUUUGACUGGGGCGGUCUCCUCCCAAAGAGUAACGGAGGAGCACGAAGGUUAGCUAAUCACGGUCGGACAUCGUGAGGUUAGUGCAAAGGCAUAAGCUAGCUUGACUGCGAGAGUGACGGCUCGAGCAGGUACGAAAGUAGGUCUUAGUGAUCCGGUGGUUCUGAAUGGAAGGGCCAUCGCUCAACGGAUAAAAGGUACUCCGGGGAUAACAGGCUGAUACCGCCCAAGAGUUCAUAUCGACGGCGGUGUUUGGCACCUCGAUGUCGGCUCAUCACAUCCUGGGGCUGAAGUAGGUCCCAAGGGUAUGGCUGUUCGCCAUUUAAAGUGGUACGCGAGCUGGGUUUAGAACGUCGUGAGACAGUUCGGUCCCUAUCUGCCGUGGGCGUUGGAAGAUUGAGAGGGGUUGCUCCUAGUACGAGAGGACCGGAGUGAACGCACCACUGGUGUUCGGGUUGUCAUGCCAAUGGCAUUGCCCGGUAGCUAAGUGCGGAAAAGAUAAGCGCUGAAAGCAUCUAAGCGCGAAACUUGCCUCAAGAUGAGUCUUCCCUGGGCCUUUAAGUUCCCUGAAGGAACGUUUAAGACUAAGACGUUGAUAGGCUGGGUGUGUAAGUGCAGCGAUGCAUUGAGCUAACCAGUACUAAUGAUCCGUGAGGCUUAACCUU
This 2908-nucleotide ribosomal RNA is filed under the name Serratia nevei. RNAcentral describes it as "23S ribosomal RNA". It matches the Rfam family "Bacterial large subunit ribosomal RNA". Lineage: Bacteria; Pseudomonadati; Pseudomonadota; Gammaproteobacteria; Enterobacterales; Yersiniaceae. The record is from RNAcentral.